RNAcentral lists this ribosomal RNA (540 nucleotides) under uncultured bacterium. RNAcentral's name for it is "partial 16S ribosomal RNA". It matches the Rfam family "Bacterial small subunit ribosomal RNA", at positions 28 to 523 of the family's 1533-position model. The record is from RNAcentral.
GAUGAACGCUGGCGGUGUGCCUAAUACAUGCAAGUCGUACGCAUUCUCGUUUCUGAUUGACGGUGCUUGCACCUAAUUGACGAGACAUUGGAAUGAGUGGCGGACGGGUGAGUAACACGUGGGUAACCUGCCCAGAAGUGGGGGAUAACAUUUGGAACCAGAUGCUAAUACCGCAUAAAAGUCAAAACCACAUGGUUUUGAUUUAAAAGAUGGCCUUUGUGCUAUCACUUCUGGAUGGACCCGCGGCGUAUUAGCUAGUUGGUAAGAUAACGGCUUACCAAGGCAAUGAUACGUAGCCGGACUGAGAGGUUGAUCGGCCACAAUGGGACUGAGACACGGCCCAUACUCCUACGGGAGGCAGCAGUAGGGAAUCUUCCACAAUGGGCGCAAGCCUGAUGGAGCAACACCGCGUGAGUGAAGAAGGGUUUCGGCUCGUAAAACUCUGUUGUUAAAGAAGAACGUAUCUAAGAGUAACUGCUUAGGUAGUGACGGUAUUUAACCAGAAAGCCACGGCUAACUACGUGCCAGCAGCCGCAGUAA